Molecule: ribosomal RNA, 550 nt
Filed under: uncultured Xanthobacter sp.
Lineage: Bacteria; Pseudomonadati; Pseudomonadota; Alphaproteobacteria; Hyphomicrobiales; Xanthobacteraceae
Description: bacterial SSU rRNA
Rfam family: Bacterial small subunit ribosomal RNA
Source: RNAcentral
UGGGAGCGGCAGACGGGUGAGUAACGCGUGGGGAUCUACCCAUUGGUACGGAAUAACCCAGGGAAACUUGGACUAAUACCGUAUGUGCCCUUCGGGGGAAAGAUUUAUCGCCAAUGGAUGAACCCGCGUCGGAUUAGCUAGUUGGUGAGGUAAAGGCUCACCAAGGCGACGAUCCGUAGCUGGUCUGAGAGGAUGAUCAGCCACACUGGGACUGAGACACGGCCCAGACUCCUACGGGAGGCAGCAGUGGGGAAUAUUGGACAAUGGGCGCAAGCCUGAUCCAGCCAUGCCGCGUGAGUGAUGAAGGCCUUAGGGUUGUAAAGCUCUUUCGCCGGUGAAGAUAAUGACGGUAACCGGAGAAGAAGCCCCGGCUAACUUCGUGCCAGCAGCCGCGGUAAUACGAAGGGGGCUAGCGUUGCUCGGAAUCACUGGGCGUAAAGCGCACGUAGGCGGAUCGUUAAGUCAGGGGUGAAAUCCUGGGGCUCAACCUCAGAACUGCCCUUGAUACUGGCGAUCUCGAGUUCGAGAGAGGUUGGUGGAACUCCGAGUG